UACUUUUGCAGAGGAAGAGGAGGAAGAGGGCUGCACUAAUGAUUACUGCCACUGCCAAGCACCACUUUUGAGGCUGCAGAAAGCUGUGAAAGAGAGGGAUGAGGCCCUGACCAAGAAAAGUGAGACCAUCCAAUCCAUUAGAGAGGACAACCUGAAGCUGAUCUCUGAGCUGCAUAGAGUGAGGAAGAGGUACCAGCUACUGAAAAGGCAGAUGGGGAUUCUCAGGGUGAGUCCGGCAAAGGAGAGGUCGGCAAAGAGGUCCCUCAGCUUUUAGGCCGAGGCAGACACAGCCCAAGAGGAGCUGCAGCUGGACCAAGUGACAGGUUCAGGGGACCAGACAGAGGAGGCUACAGCGUCCGGAUCUGGCAGCAAACUUAUCUUCCCGGGCUCUGCCAUCAGUGUGUUUCUUGAGGGAUUCAGGAAGACCUGUGAGGGCCCCAAUCCAAAUUAUAAGCUAAGGGAAAAUUGUGCCGGAAAGAUCAAAAGGGUGACGCAAUUGUUGAACUACAUGGCGAAGGAUGAGACCUACCAAUCCAAUCUCAUUUUCCUGACUAACCAUGACAAAAUAAGGGGGUGAAAGACAGCAAGGAAGCCAAGGUGGUUUCCAGAAAGACCCUGCUGGAGUGCCAGUCUCUUGCCAAGGCCAAGAUCCCAGAAGUGCUG
Coregonus clupeaformis (lake whitefish) is the source of this 663-nucleotide long non-coding RNA. RefSeq lists it as uncharacterized. The record is from RefSeq and is a predicted model, not a curated record. NCBI's taxonomy places the organism in Eukaryota, Metazoa, Chordata, Actinopteri, Salmoniformes, Salmonidae. The transcript has 3 exons.